Molecule: long non-coding RNA, 1064 nt
Filed under: Nicotiana benthamiana
Lineage: Eukaryota; Viridiplantae; Streptophyta; Magnoliopsida; Solanales; Solanaceae
Description: long non-coding RNA (NBEN_LNC011550)
Source: RNAcentral
AUAUUAUACAGUGAUAAUAUGGACUACUAUUAUUUGGCAGUGCUUCUUUGUGGGUGUCAUUGGAGUCAUUUACUGCUCUUCUUCUUUGAUGUCCGGGGUUAUGAUCGCAGUUUUACUUCCUGUUACUGAGGUAUUAGCAGUAGUUUUUUUUAGGGAAAAUUUUUCAGGUGAAAAGGGCCUUGCUCUUUUUCUUUCUCUUUGGGGUUUCGUCUCAUACUUUUACGGAGAAUUCAGGCAAACAAAGAAGGAGAAGAACAAAAGUCCAAAAAUUGAGAUGACAACAACUUAUACUGAGUCUGUUUAAUUUACUAAGUCUGUCUGAUUUACUAUUCACGGCUAUAAAGAUAAAUAGUUUGUAUUUUUUGUAGAAAAUAAUGUGCUUUAUAUUUCUAUAAUACCUACUUUUCGUUUCUAUAAAAUUUCUGACAUUCCUUAAAUUUGCAAUACGACACUUUGAAAGAUUGCAUUUGCCAGUAAAUGAUCAUUAAUUUCCAUGACUUAUUCAUCUAUACAAUUAUUUGACAACACAAUUAAAUACUAAUUAAGGAAAAAGACAAUGUUACUUUAAAUUUAGACCAAAUUCGAAAAAGGAAGAAAAAAAAUACCAAUUUUUACAUCGACAUAGCAUAGAGUUUCUUCUCCCUCAACGUCUGUAAUACAAUUCCCAGAUAUUGCUCAUGCUCCUCCUGCAUGAAUACACUAGUAUAUCUUAUGGAUUAUAAUAAGUAGCGGAAACAAUCCCACUAUCAAAAUCACAUGUAAUUUAGACAACUAGCGUAAAUGAGAUUUCACGGGUUACCUCUUGAAGCGUGAACAUAUCUCUUCUACCAUGUGAGCCUUUGUCUGAUUUACUAUUCACGGCUAUAAAGAUAAAUAGUUUGUAUUUUUUGUAGAAAAUAAUGUGCUUUAUAUUUCUAUAAUACCUACUUUUUGUUUCUAUAAAAUUUCUGACAUUCCUUAAAUUUGCAAUACGACACUUUGAAAGAUUGCAUUUGCCAGUAAAUGAUCAUUAAUUUCCAUGACUUAUUCAUCUAUACAAUUAUUUGACAACACAAUUAAAUACU